UGCAAGCAAGAAAAUGUGCAUUGUUGGAGUACAUGUAUAAUUAGAGUUUUCAACUCGCUCAGAAGUAGUAUUAUCACAUGACAAUGACUAAGCUAGGAGUGAAAGGGUUCCUGAAUUUACACCAGCCACAAACUGACAAGGCUGCCUCCAAGUGCAGUGGGAGGCAAUAAUACCAAAGGGGUGGCACAGCUUGCCUUACAAGCCUGUGGAAAGUCUUUUAAAGUGAACCCAGAAGCCGGUAGAUGCAGAUGAAGAAACAGAGCGUUUCAGUUCCUAACAUCCCUCAGCCAGGAAGCGUCUUGAAAUACAUCAAGCCCAGUGCAGUCCCAUACCCUAGAACAGGAAGAGGUACAGCCCAGAACUAAGAAAAAUGUUGCCUCCGUGGGAAUGCCUGUGCAGGUCAGUAAGAUUUUGCUUGAAGGUCAAGGUGAAGCAGCUGAAACCCCCAGCUGAACUGUAUCAGAAAUCUCCCUGAUGGAGCGGGAUUCUGAUACGUGCAGCCAGGAAAG
Molecule: long non-coding RNA, 509 nt
Filed under: Pogona vitticeps (central bearded dragon)
Lineage: Eukaryota; Metazoa; Chordata; Lepidosauria; Squamata; Agamidae
Description: lncRNA (ENSPVIG00000004606.1)
Source: RNAcentral